Molecule: ribosomal RNA, 497 nt
Filed under: uncultured bacterium
Lineage: Bacteria
Description: partial 16S ribosomal RNA
Rfam family: Bacterial small subunit ribosomal RNA
Source: RNAcentral
GAUGAACGCUGGCGGCGUGCCUAAUACAUGCAAGUCGAGCGAAGGGACGAGAAGCUUGCUUCUCUGAUGUUAGCGGCGGACGGGUGAGUAGCACGUGGAUAACCUACCUAUAAGACUGGGAUAACUUCGGGAAACCGGAGCUAAUACCGGAUAAUAUUUUGAACCGCAUGGUUCAAAAGUGAAAGACGGUCUUGCUGUCACUUAUAGAUGGAUCCGCGCUGCAUUAGCUAGUUGGUAAGGUAACGGCUUACCAAGGCAACGAUGCAUAGCCGACCUGAGAGGGUGAUCGGCCACACUGGAACUGAGACACGGUCCAGACUCCUACGGGAGGCAGCAGUAGGAAAUCUUCCGCAAUGGGCGAAAGCCUGACGGAGCAACGCCGCGUGAGUGAUGAAGGUCUUCGGAUCGUAAAACUCUGUUAUUAGGGAAGAACAUAUGUGUAAGUAACUGUGCACAUCUUGACGGUACCUAAUCAGAAAGCCACGGCUAACUACGUG